This 253-nucleotide ribosomal RNA is filed under the name uncultured bacterium. RNAcentral's name for it is "partial 16S ribosomal RNA". It matches the Rfam family "Bacterial small subunit ribosomal RNA", at positions 524 to 776 of the family's 1533-position model. The record is from RNAcentral. RNAcentral also lists the same sequence under 1 other name.
UACGUAGGGUGCAAGCGUUGUCCGGAAUUAUUGGGCGUAAAGAGCUCGUAGGCGGUUUGUCACGUCGGAUGUGAAAACCCGAGGCUUAACCUCGGGCCUGCAUUCGAUACGGGCUGACUAGAGUUCGGUAGGGGAGACUGGAAUUCCUGGUGUAGCGGUGAAAUGCGCAGAUAUCAGGAGGAACACCGGUGGCGAAGGCGGGUCUCUGGGCCGAUACUGACGCUGAGGAGCGAAAGCGUGGGGAGCGAACAGG